This 553-nucleotide long non-coding RNA is filed under the name Pan troglodytes (chimpanzee). RNAcentral describes it as "lncRNA (ENSPTRG00000053705.1)". Lineage: Eukaryota; Metazoa; Chordata; Mammalia; Primates; Hominidae. The record is from RNAcentral.
CUCAAGGAGGAGGGAGAGGAGAAAUGAGGAAAAAAAGCCAAAUUUUUUCCUUCAAAGGGUACCUUGGGACAGAGGGAGUGCAGAGCAGAGAAAACCUACCUGUGCAACUGAGAAGGCCGCUCAGGCCACGGGGACCGGGCAGGAAUGCUCUCAGGAGUGUCCUCUGCACCUGAACUUGAUUUCACGCCAUCACCUUCCGCCUCUUAACCAGCAUCUCCUGGACAGUCAGCCGAGUGUUUCCAUGAUACCAGCCAUACCUGAUGCCAGGAGACUCGCUACACUUGGAAGCUCUUCAAGGACUUCUUUUAAGAGAGGUUAGGGAAAGCUUUCAGUUAUAUUUUCUGUCACCUUCCGCAAUUUUAAAUUGGAUGAAAUAGUGGGAGACUUUGUUUUUAUGGCUUUCUCCUUUCAACUAUUGUAACAAACAUAGCUACCUAUGCUUAGCAUGCUUAAAGGCUGGAUGGGACCAUCUCUAUAUUAUGGCCCAAACAAAAUUGGCUUCUGGAACAAGUGUGGCUGUUUUGAACUCGAUCCACUUGAGUCGGAGAUGAGG